Molecule: small nuclear RNA, 106 nt
Organism: Myodes glareolus (Bank vole)
Lineage: Eukaryota; Metazoa; Chordata; Mammalia; Rodentia; Cricetidae
Source: RefSeq, a predicted model, not a curated record
GUGCUCACUCGACAGCAUAUAUACUAAAAUGGGAACAAUGUAGGGAAGAUUACCAUGGCCCCUGGGCAAGAGUGAACAGUUUCAGUGACUGCUGUUUGUGCUAAUU